CCUACGGGGCGCAGCAGUAGGGAAUCUUCGGCAAUGGACGAAAGUCGGACCGAGCAACGCCGCGUGAGUGACGAAGGUUUUCGGAUCGUAAAACUCUGUUGGUAGAGCAGAACGUUGGUGAGAGUGGAAAGCUCAUCAAGUGACGGUAACUACCCAGCAAGGGACGGCUAACUACGUGCCAGCAGCCGCGGUAAUACGUAGGUCCCGAGCGUUGUCCGGAUUUAUUGGGCGUAUAGCGAGCGCAGGUGGUUUAUUAAGUCUGUUGUAAAAGGCAGGGGCUCAACCAUUGUAUGCAUUGGAAACCGGUAGACUUGAGUGCAGGAGAGGAGAGUGGAAUUCUAUGUGUAGCGGUGAAAUGCGUAGAUAUAGGGAGGAACACCGGUGGCGAAAGCGGCUCUCUGGCCUGUAACUGACACUGAGGCUCGAAAGCGUGGGGAGCAAACAGGAUUAGAUACCCGGGUAGUC
RNAcentral lists this ribosomal RNA (465 nucleotides) under uncultured bacterium. Its description in RNAcentral is "partial 16S ribosomal RNA". It matches the Rfam family "Bacterial small subunit ribosomal RNA", at positions 338 to 795 of the family's 1533-position model. The record is from RNAcentral.